This 831-nucleotide ribosomal RNA is filed under the name Russula densifolia. RNAcentral's name for it is "eukaryotic LSU rRNA". It matches the Rfam family "Eukaryotic large subunit ribosomal RNA", at positions 82 to 943 of the family's 3401-position model. Lineage: Eukaryota; Fungi; Basidiomycota; Agaricomycetes; Russulales; Russulaceae. The record is from RNAcentral.
AGUAACUGCGAGUGAAGCGGGAAAAGCUCAAAUUUAAAAUCUGGUGGUCUUUGGCCAUCCGAGUUGUAAUUUAGAGAAGCGUCUUCCGCGCUGGACCGUGCACAAGUCUCCUGGAAUGGAGCGUCAUAGAGGGUGAGAAUCCCGUCUUUGGCAUGGACCCCAGGGCUUCUGUGAUGCGCUCUCAAAGAGUCGAGUUGUUUGGGAAUGCAGCUCAAAAUGGGUGGUGAACUCCAUCUAAAGCUAAAUAUUGGCGAGAGACCAAACAGUACGUGAAAUUGUUGAAAGGGAAACGCUUGAAGUCAGUCGCGUCGACCGAGACUCAGCCUUGCCUUGGCUUGGUGUACUUCUCGGCUGACGGGUCAGCAUCAAUUUCGAUCCUUGGAUAAUGGCAAGGGAAAGGUAGCACCUUUACAGGUGUGUUAUAGUCCUCUGUCGCAUGCAAGGGUUGGGAUUGAGGAACUCAGCACGCGCCUUGUCGGUGUCGGGGCCUUUUGGCCUACGUACGUGCUUAGGAUGCUGGCAUAAUGGCUUUAAACGACCCGUCUUGAAACACGGACCAAGGAGUCUAACAUGCACGCGAGUGUUCGGGUGGAAAACCCGUGCGCGUAAUGAAAGUAAAAGUUGGGACCUCUGUCGUGGAGGGCACCGACGCCCGGACCAGACCUUCUGUGACGGCUCUGCGGUAGAGCGUGUAUGUUGGGACCCGAAAGAUGGUGAACUAUGCCUGAAUAGGGUGAAGCCAGAGGAAACUCUGGUGGAGGCUCGUAGCGAUUCUGACGUGCAAAUCGAUCGUCAAAUUUGGGUAUAGGGGCGAAAGACUAAUCGAACCAU